GGAGAGUAGAGGAAAGACAGGAGAUGGUUGUUGGCAAGGGCAGGGCGACCGUCCGGCCGAGGCCCGACGUGCUGGGCUGGGGGGUGGGCGGUGCCCACUUGAAGUUCAAGGUCAUAAACUUAACUGGAGCCAAUCCAAAUCCACUGCCCAAGCAAAAGCGUAUCUAAGAAAAAGAAAAAUAACUCGAAGCCUCCAAGACACAUAAAAUCCAGAAUGGACUGACAACGGUGAAGAAGGGUAGAGCUUUUCAGAAAGAUGACCCUCGAUUCAGGGCUUAGCCAUUCUUGUACAUGGAGCCAAGUUCAUUUUACCCGCAACUGACUUACAAGUGUCUCAUAACUCUGGACUCGUAACGGACACCACAAAAGCCCGUUCAAUGUCCAGUUGCUGGGAUGAGCCUAGUGGACAAAACGUCAAGCCAAUGGCAUGAGGACUGUGGUUUCAAUCAAGACCUGUCCCCCCAGAGCAGGGCUGCCCCAGCCCAUCCAUCUGGCAUCUCCGAGUAUCGGCAUCUUCUCUGAAAAUGAGAAUCAGAAGGUGUGUGAGCAAAGUUUGUUGUGUUAAUCGAAAAUAUGUUAAUUUUCUGCAUUUCAAUAACUUCAAGCUUAGCCUGAGAACCUUCCAAGCUGUAGAAAACCUCCUUGACUAAGAGUCCACCUGCACAAGGACCUCCGCCUUCUGAACACAAACGAGCUGGAAUAGACCAUAAAGAAGGAGGGGGACCCUGGGGCCAGGAAGCUGGUCCUUCACAAGUAGGUCAGUGAUGGGGAUGCAGCUGGGGGCACAUGACACGAUGACAUUUCAUCUGGGUCUGAAAUACUCAGGCCCAGGCCCCCGAGAGUCCUGCAAACAGCGAAUCAGAAGGACCGCAGAGACUGAACAGGUGGCUCUUGGCUGCUUGGAUGAGGGAGGGGAGAGGAGAGAGAAGAUGCUGGGGGCCACCCCAGGGGCCCUGCGCUGGAGACAGGUCCCGGGGCCCAGACUGUCUCACCCGAGAUGCGUCUUCCAUAACCUCCUUGGCAAGUCAGUCCUGAGCAUGAGCCUAGAGAAACCCCUUCACCAGGCCUGCCGUGGAGAAGGCCCUUCAAAGCCUCCCUCAGAAGAACGAGAAGCAUCCAAUGCUCCAUCAGUGGUGCCAUUACUAAUCAAAUUUAAAAGGAUUAAUGAGGGACCUCCCGUCAUGGCGCAGCGGACACGAAUCCGACUAGGAACCGUAAGGUUGUCGGUUCGAUCCCAGGCCCCGCUCAAUGGGUUAAGGAUCCAGCGUUGCCAUGAGCUGUGGUGUAGGUCGUGGACGCGGCUUGAAUCUGGCGUUACUGUGGCUGUGCCACAAGCUGACAGCUAUAGCUCCGAUAAGACCCCGAGUCUGGGAACCUCCACAUGCUGCAAGUGUGGCCCUAAAAAGACAAAAAGACUAAAAUAAAAUAAAAAUAAAACAAAAUAAAAUAAAAAGUUUAAAAUAAAGUAGGAAAGCCUCUUGGAGGAAAGAAUGAAAGAUCUGUGUUAUAGUGACAAUGACAGAAAUGAAAAGCAUUUUGCCAAGAUUUUGCACCUGUGACAAGCCAGGCCAAGUCACAGACUUCGAAAAGAAUGGGCUCCUUUGGACGGGCGUGUCUGCACACCGAGGUCUAACCACUGGGGCAGUUCUACCCUAUUAGGUGAAGAAGAAACCCCCUCAUCUUGUUGUGGCUUGUGCCGCCCUGCAGGGCUGGGAUUGGGCAGAGAAAGCCUGUGUUUACGUGCGACUUUAAUUUGAUUUACUGUCCCUGACAAGCCCGCCUGAACCCAGCGCUCUGUCUCAGCAGGGUCCCUGCCUCGCCUCUCCUGCUCUGCAAGAACUCGAAAGCAGGAGCUGGCAGGUGGAUGCCGAGGGGGACUUCGCCUCCCUUCAUGCUUGCCCAGGGCAAGUGGAACCAAGCCCGACUGCUUCAGAACCUUUCCUGGGCACGGGCUAAAGGCGCUUGGUGUCACGGUGUCACUGGAGGUGGCCUGAGGGGCAGACAGAUUCACCAGCGAUGGCUGCAUCUUGGGAGCUCAGCUCUGUGAAGCGGCAGUGUCAGCCCCGUGCGAGCUCCCCGCCAUCUGGGGAGGGGACACUGUGCUUGGAAAGUCAGAAGACAGGAAAGCAUCUGCGCCCUCCUCCUCCCGAGGCCCUCAGUGUCCUGCCUCCUCUCUGAGGCUGUCUGUGUUCAAACCUGCCCUGGGCCCUGUCACCGGAACAAAAGAUGGAAUUUCGCAUUUCUACCUCCUCAUUUCCUAGAAUUUCAGCUGCCUUCAUGGUUCUCC
RNAcentral lists this long non-coding RNA (2286 nucleotides) under Sus scrofa (pig). RNAcentral describes it as "lncRNA (ENSSSCG00060065958.1)". Lineage: Eukaryota; Metazoa; Chordata; Mammalia; Artiodactyla; Suidae. The record is from RNAcentral.